This is a long non-coding RNA of Grus americana (Whooping crane), 3784 nucleotides long. RefSeq lists it as uncharacterized. NCBI's taxonomy places the organism in Eukaryota, Metazoa, Chordata, Aves, Gruiformes, Gruidae. The transcript has 5 exons. The record is from RefSeq and is a predicted model, not a curated record.
GCCCGGCGGCGGCGGCGCCUCCGCUUGAGGGGCGGCAGCGGGAGCGGCGGGGCUGGGCCGGGCCGGGCCGGCUCCGUGGUCUGUCGGGGUCUGUCUGCCCCGGGCCGCGGCGGUACCGGGCGCUGGGCCGGCGCUCCCGCCGCAGGGCUGCGCUCUCGGGCCGGCGGCGAGGCUCGGCCCGCGCGGUUCCUCUGCCGGCGGUCGUGGCGGGUGCUGUUGGAUCCACUCCAAGGAAUCUGCACUUACAGCUUGGCGAACAAAAGGAAGCAAUUCUCUUCAGAUGGAUGGGUUGUGAACAAACACGGGCUUUAGGUACACCCCAGGCCAACACGUGCACGCCGCCUUAUCAGGCCUUUGUGUAACAAUUUGCAGUUGUCUUACAAGCAUGUGAGUUUUACAACAAAACAAGUGCUGGUGCCCUCCUGCCUCUGGCCCUUGGAUGUCACCCUUGGGGAUGUUGUACCAGCUGCGCUGGGAAGAAAACCUGAAACACCGAUCGAGUGCUGGAAUGAAUGUCACCUAUUCAUUCACUGACCUGAAGAGGAAACACAUCACUCUUGGCCGUACCAACUGAGCACCAGCAUAAAGUGGUGACCGAAGCACGACUGCAUCAUCACCCAGUCAACCGCCCCUGGAAGGUUAAUGUCCGUGGCAAGAAAAACAAUGUCUUCUCCCUGAAGGGUGGUAAUGCUUUUGUGGGCGUGCAUAAGGUGGGACAUCACGGCUUCCAAGGAUCCCUGCCACUUACAGGAGGCACCGGGGCACGGGCAGGAGUAGGGACGGUACUCACAGAUGUCUUCGUGUUCUGGCUUUUCUGUGUGAUGGAGUGUCAGAGAGCAGCCUGUUGUUGCAUACUGGAAAAAGACCAAAUACAAGCCGUCAGGAAACGCACCAGCACUGGUGUUCCCUGCUCCCACCUCUCAACUGGCAACACUGGUGAUCAACCAGCACUCUUGUUCUCGUUGCAGAUUUUACGUUAGAUACUUCUGUUUAGCCCUGGAUUCAGAGCUGAGCUCUACUUACUUAUGUUUCCACUUAAACAUGGAUUCUUCUUGUCUUUUUUGGUUGUUUUUUUCCUAACGCAAGCACUUAGAUAAAAUGGAUUGUCAGGCUGAGUUGUAGUUAGAUUUGCUGUUGUAGUUAGACCUGGUUGGUCCAGAUCAGCUGAAGUGGUCCUGGUUUGGAUUUUUCUUUUCUUUAAAAAGAACAAAGGAUUCUAGUUUCAGCAAACAGCUACUAGAGUGAAGUAUUUUUAAUAGAUGUACCUUAUUGCCAUCACAGAGCAAAAGCACUUGAUUUAAUUCAAAUGCAGAUUCCCCACAGCUUUUUUUUAACCACUGGAACAGUUUCAACACUGCAGUUUUGAGAAGUGGAAAAAGAGAAGACAAUUUUUCACUGAGCAUAAAGCCAACACACAGAUAAGUACCAUCUAACUUCUCUUAAUGUCACUGGGCAACUUAGAGGGUUAAUUUGCUUUAAACAACUGGGGAUGCUUUUCCUUUUUCUCCAGUCAGUUCAGUUGUCCCUACUGACCAUAUUGCUUUCACGCUACCUCUGCAGAGAAAACAAGUCUCUCCUAUUCUCACCAAGAGCACAGCUCCCUUGGUCUGUAGAUAUCUGUCGCGAUACCAACACCACGGCUAACACUAUCACGCAGGUUACAACACGCGUGCUUGGCUGCUUAUGGAUGCUAUGACACUGCCUUGAGGACAGAUAUAACCAAGGUAUAAAUGAUUAUUUCUGGGCUAAUAUGUGUGCAAGAAGUUUCAGCUCAAAGGGUUACAUGCCCAGGAUGCAAAUCACCCAUGCUGUGAACACGACAGUAGGAAUACUGGGACAGAAACUCGACCUUGUGCUUCUGGAGGAGCUUGUUUUACAAGCCAUAAAGAGUUAACGUGAGCCUUCACUUAACUGUGUCUGCCCCUGCUGCUUAAUCCUCUGCUAACAGCUUUAUCGCAGGGCGCUGCAGUGGAACAAGGCUUCCUCCUGCCAAAGGCAGAAGCCCCAUCGCGGCGAAUGCGUGGCCAGCCAUGCCAGCUGCCCUGCUGCACAGCGCAGCGACCCAGGUUAUAUGAUACCUUUGAGCUAUUUGGCCUCUGCACCUCUUCCACUUCUUCCGUGUCUGCCUCGAGACGGCGAGCCAGGGCUGCGCACAGUGCUAACAGAGUAGGCGUGAUGCUAACGCCUGGGCUCGCAUCACCAUUUUUCUGCUUUUUCAUUGCCCUUCUCAUCGUUUCUGUUAUUCCGUGUUAGAAAGUAUUACGUACUUGUUUUCACAGUCGUUUGUUUAGCACCGCAUUUGCUUUCCUGAGAGGAAAUGAUCCGCUCAGAGCUCGUGACCACAUACAAGACUUAUCCCAUGUUUUGGCCACAUGUGUCACUACAUGUGCUGCUCUGAACUUCACUUUGCCAGGAGAGCUUUCUGAGCGUCCUAAAGCAUUCGGAAAACAUCAGUUAAGCUUGAAAGUGCUAAGCAGAGGCAGGCCAGUAUUAUCAACCCUGUAAACGAAGGCAGGGACACAGGAUUAAAGUAAUUUGUCUGAAGCCACCUGGGAAAUCAGUGGCAGAGCUGGGAAUAGACUGCCAAGUCCAAAUCCCUCCUGCUCUAGCGCGCAGCCUCUCCCUCUAGUAUACCAGUAGCUUGAGAUGGGAACAGUGCUGCUGGGAAAAGGCCUGCCUGCUCCUGUAUGUGUGUCAGCAGAGUGCAGGGACCCAACGAGGACCAAAACCCUCUCGUGCUUCUUCCUUCUCCAGCGCUUUGUAAAACAUCUGUCCCUGCUUUUAAGAUCCCUCCAGCCUUCCAAAGCGUUCAUUCCAGCUUGGGUACAGACGCUCAGCCCAGCCUAGCAGUGAUCCUAGGGAGCUCUCCCGGGGAUGCACAGCGAGGUCCAGCCCAGAAAACAGCAAGCCUCUCUGCUUUCCGGAACCUCACACCAGCGAGGAAACCGGCUCAGGCCACAGCCAGCUGCCUGGCAAAAUGCACCAUGAACUCUGCCAGCAGCGCCGGGCCGGCUGUUACGGCUUGUCUGGGAAAGGACCAGUGAACGUUGCAUCGCUGCGUAUAGAGCAUGCAAGCUCUACGUCUUGGAAAUAGGAAGUGUGACCUUAUUUAGGUUUAGUAUAUUUGCUUAAAAUCUUUAAAAUUACUUUUUAAUUAUUUUAAAGCAAAGCUCUAAGGAGGCUGUAGAGGCAGCGUCGGACAAUAUACAGGAGUAAGUUUGUAUACAAUAACAACAUGAAUGUGCAAUUUCUGUUUGCAAGUUGUUUGCUUACAUGGGAAACCUGUCAUGCCUUCCCUUGAACUGGCGGUGUAGCAGCAGUGGUGUAAGGACACAGAGCGGUUCUGCCUAUGAUUAGUCUGCUAUUAUUUGACUUGUUACUUUAUAUAGUCUCACUAUGCCUUCCCCUUUUUAAAUACACACUGUUGGUUGCAAGGUGCAGAAAGACUUUUCUGCAAAGUGCAAGAAUACAGUACAAUGAAUUUAGUGGAUUCACUUUUCUUCAAAAGGACCAGAACCAUCUGGAGACUGAGAAACGUGGCAGUAUCUCCAGUAAGAGAUGGCUGGUUUAGAGCAUCGUGGAAGACUCUCUUCAUGCAAGGUAUCUGUCCUAGCUUCCAAGAUGCAGAGCAUCGCUACUCCUAGGAAAGCUGGUAAUGGGGUUUCAAUCCCCUGAAAAAUCGAGCCUCAUGUACUUAGAUUUUUUAAAUGCAUGUAAUAACUAGAAAAGUAAUUUCCUUUAUUAUAAGUAAAACUUACUGUUAGGUUAAAUUAAUCACAAGCAC